CUGGCAGGUUUGUGGAGGAGCAGGAUCAGGAAUCAAUAAAGUGCAGAAGGAAAACUGUGACUGAAAAGAUGAGAGAGAAGCCAAAAGUAAGGACACCCAGGAAGAUGACAGAGGUUUGUACCUCUGUUGUAGGCAUGGCUGUGAGUGCUGCUGGGAUCCCACUGCCCCUUUGUGGAAAGGAACAGAGGAAGACUUCCAAGGGGCUGGGCAGCAACACCUGUGUAAGAAACACCCAAGAAGCACAGUUCAUUAAGAAAGAAAAGCUAGUUGAAUGAUUGUUACAUUCUUCAAACCAAUUCUCGUUUUUCUUUAAUUGCUUCUGAUGCCCUUGGCCCUGUGAAACGACAGAGUCUGUUGCUCAGUGAGUUACGAGAUCAUUGAUCCUAGAAGCUGGUGGUUUUAUUUGGGCCAGAGAGGAUUUGGGAAGCAACUGCCAAACAAAUUUUCCAGACAGAAACUCAUGCUACUGCCUAUGAGAGCCUAUAAGUCCUAUAUGAUGAGCAGCGUGUCUGCAUGUUUUUAUUGAGUUUUCUUUAGGAAAUGCCAGCUCUA
Molecule: long non-coding RNA, 552 nt
Organism: Centrocercus urophasianus (Greater sage-grouse)
Lineage: Eukaryota; Metazoa; Chordata; Aves; Galliformes; Phasianidae
Exons: 3
Source: RefSeq, a predicted model, not a curated record